CCUACGGGGAGCAGCAGUAGGGAAUCUUCCACAAUGGGCGAAAGCCUGAUGGAGCAACGCCGCGUGGGUGAAGAAGGUCUUCGGAUCGUAAAACCCUGUUGUUAGAGAAGAAAGUGCGUGAGAGUAACUGUUCACGUUUCGACGGUAUCUAACCAGAAAGCCACGGCUAACUACGUGCCAGCAGCCGCGGUAAUACGUAGGUGGCAAGCGUUAUCCGGAUUUAUUGGGCGUAAAGGGAACGCAGGCGGUCUUUUAAGUCUGAUGUGAAAGCCUUCGGCUUAACCGGAGUAGUGCAUUGGAAACUGGGAGACUGGAGUGCAGAAGAGGAGAGUGGAACUCCAUGUGUAGCGGUGAAAUGCGUAGAUAGAUGGAAGAACACCAGUGGCGAAAGCGGCUCUCUGGUCUGUAACUGACGCUGAGGUUCGAAAGCGUGGGUAGCAAACAGGAUUAGAUACCCCUGUAGUC
Molecule: ribosomal RNA, 465 nt
Filed under: uncultured bacterium
Lineage: Bacteria
Description: partial 16S ribosomal RNA
Rfam family: Bacterial small subunit ribosomal RNA
Source: RNAcentral